RNAcentral lists this small RNA (635 nucleotides) under Cryptococcus neoformans H99. Its description in RNAcentral is "Cryptococcus neoformans var. grubii H99 hypothetical RNA". The record is from RNAcentral. Lineage: Eukaryota; Fungi; Basidiomycota; Tremellomycetes; Tremellales; Cryptococcaceae.
CAUCCUCCUCUCCGUCCUCCGGUGCUCUUCUAGGGACUGUUCUUCCCAAUCAAGUCUGGCUUUGUCGCCAGCCAACCGCUCCCGUUCCAAACUUAAAGUAGUCAUUUUCAGCUCCUUGUAUUCUUUAUGGGACUCGUGUUUCUUGUUGAGCCCUCUGUCCUCCAUGGCCAUGAGAGCUGAUCGGAGGUCCGUUAGGUCUGCAUGACUGCCCGCGAGAUGUAGAUGUUAUGGCCGCCAGAUCUAUACUUUGAUAAUGAUGACAAGCUCACGAGGAAUCAGUUAGAGAUGGCUGCAACGGCCUUGGCCCUUUCAGACAACCCUAGUCUUCACUAUCCCCCUCCUUUGGGACGCCCUCGUCGUCACCCUCAAAGUCUCCUUCAUCUUCUCCAAAAGCAACAUCGUCGAGUCUCUAUGAGCUUAUUCCUCUCCUACGCAAUGGCAUAGACUAGGAUGGCGAACACAUAGGGGGACUUCUCCUGGAGGAAUUGAUGAGAUAAGCCGGUUUUGACAUCUUUGCUUUUGAUGAUGGAUUGUGGUGUAUGGAAGACAUUUUGAGAUGGGAAUUUGGAAUUUAUGGAAGAUAUUUGAAGGAGAGAAGAAUUUAACACUCUCUAUGAUGGCUAUGUGACAUUUAU